GAUGAACGCUGGCGGCGUGCCUAAUACAUGCAAGUCGAGCGAACAGAUAAGGAGCUUGCUCCUUUGACGUUAGCGGCGGACGGGUGAGUAACACGUGGGUAACCUACCUAUAAGACUGGGAUAACUUCGGGAAACCGGAGCUAAUACCGGAUAACAUUUGGAACCGCAUGGUUCUAAAGUGAAAGAUGGUUUUGCUAUCACUUAUAGAUGGACCCGCGCCGUAUUAGCUAGUUGGUAAGGUAACGGCUUACCAAGGCGACGAUACGUAGCCGACCUGAGAGGGUGAUCGGCCACACUGGAACUGAGACACGGUCCAGACUCCUACGGGAGGCAGCAGUAGGGAAUCUUCCGCAAUGGGCGAAAGCCUGACGGAGCAACGCCGCGUGAGUGAUGAAGGGUUUCGGCUCGUAA
Molecule: ribosomal RNA, 411 nt
Filed under: uncultured bacterium
Lineage: Bacteria
Description: bacterial SSU rRNA
Rfam family: Bacterial small subunit ribosomal RNA
Source: RNAcentral